UGCUCCCCUCACUUUCGAUCAAGUUUCGCUCCACGAGCUAUGUGGAUGCAAAAAGCGGGUUCCUGUGCUGCAUACCUAUCGCGACGGAAAUUUGUGCCUAUUGUUUGUCCAUUUCAACGCGACACCCUCUUUGGGUGCUCGGUUGGAUCAGAUAGUGGGGCUUGCGUUCCUCGAGCACAUCUCUUUUGAUUGUUCGCACGGAACGUGAGUGCUUCACUUGUUCUCUCGGAUGCGGAACGUUUUUCGUGGGUUCUAGGGUCAUUGGCCCUUGUUCCCAAUCUGAAGCGUUUAUCGCUCUUCAACGAAAUGACGCUCUUGCCUUGUCUUUUGACCUCGUGUAGCUCUCGGGCUUCUCAACGAUGGACAAUGCUCGGGGGACGUCGUGAAGGAAUGC
This 394-nucleotide unclassified non-coding RNA is filed under the name Eugenia uniflora (Surinam cherry). RNAcentral describes it as "partial external transcribed spacer". The record is from RNAcentral. Lineage: Eukaryota; Viridiplantae; Streptophyta; Magnoliopsida; Myrtales; Myrtaceae.